RNAcentral lists this ribosomal RNA (460 nucleotides) under uncultured bacterium. Its description in RNAcentral is "partial 16S ribosomal RNA". It matches the Rfam family "Bacterial small subunit ribosomal RNA", at positions 338 to 795 of the family's 1533-position model. The record is from RNAcentral.
CCUACGGGAGGCAGCAGUGAGGAAUAUUGGUCAAUGGACGAGAGUCUGAACCAGCCAAGUAGCGUGAAGGAUGACUGCCCUAUGGGUUGUAACCUUCUUUUAUAAAGGAAUAAAACGAGGCACGUGUGCCUUUUUGCAUGUACUUUAUGAAUAAGGAUCGGCUAACUCCGUGCCAGCAGCCGCGGUAAUACGGAGGAUCCGAGCGUUAUCCGGAUUUAUUGGGUGUAAAGGGAGCGUAGAUGGGUUGUUAAGUCAGUUGUGAAAGUUUGCGGCUCAACCGUAAAAUUGCAAUUGAUACUGGCAGUCUUGAGUACAGGUGAGGUAGGCGGAAUUCGUGGUGUAGCGGUGAAAUGCUUAGAUAUCACGAAGAACCCCGAUUGCGAAGGCAGCUUACUAAACUGUGACUGACAUUGAUGCUCGAAAGUGUGGGUAUCAAACAGGAUUAGAUACCCGAGUAGUC